Molecule: ribosomal RNA, 380 nt
Filed under: uncultured eukaryote
Lineage: Eukaryota
Description: partial 18S ribosomal RNA
Rfam family: Eukaryotic small subunit ribosomal RNA
Source: RNAcentral
CAAUAGCGUAUAUUAAAGUUGUUGCAGUUAAAAAGCUCGUAGUUGGAUUUGUGGCGUACGGUGUGUUCCGGGCACUUGUUGUCUGAGUAACCUGCUGUUGCCAUCCUUGGGUGGAACCUGUGUGGCAUUAGGUUGUCGUGCAGGGGAUGCCCAUCAUUUACUGUGAAAAAAUGAGAGUGUUCAAAGCAGGCUUAUGCCGUUGAAUAUAUUAGCAUGGAAUAAUGAGAUAGGACUUUUUUGCUAUUUUGUUGGUUUGCGCAAAGAGGUAAUGAUUAAUAGGGACAGUUGGGGGUAUUCGUAUUCCAUUGUCAGAGGUGAAAUUCUUGGAUUUUUGGAAGACGAACUACUGCGAAAGCAUUUACCAAGGAUGUUUUCAUUAA